Molecule: non-coding RNA, 2613 nt
Organism: Arachis ipaensis
Lineage: Eukaryota; Viridiplantae; Streptophyta; Magnoliopsida; Fabales; Fabaceae
Source: RefSeq, a predicted model, not a curated record
GAUCAGGUUCGACCAAGACUCCAAAUUCAACAAUGACCCCAAGUACAGGUUGUGAUAGGUGAGACAAUUGGUGUGGAUGAAGAUGUGGAAUAUGGCGAGUAUUACGAGCAGCAACACGAGCUUGUGAUGAUUGAUAGAAUAGAUUUUUCUUCUUUGACGUAUGAGGAGAUGCGGAGGUUUGAGUUUGUAGACUUGCAGACGGUUUAUGAUUUCUACAAUGAGUAUGGGCGGAUGCAAGGAUUCUUUAUUCGGAGGUCGAAGGUUGGAAGAAGCACAAAGAGUGGAUCGGAGGGAGAAAUUUUAUGGCAAUUUUUUUUUUGAUCGAGACAAGGUGAGAGAGAUGCCAAAUACAUUCAUCGGGUAGAAAGGAAAAUGGAUCCUCGACCAAUUACACGAUGUGGGUGCGGUGCACAAAUAAAGGUUCAUGUUGACCAAAGCACUAGCCGUUGGUUCGUAGAGAAGUUUUGUGACGAACACAACCAUAAAAUUCUAGAUGCAAGGUUCUGGGGGUUGUUGCGUUUUCAUAGAGUAAUCAACGAAGGGGACAUGCAUCAAAUUAACUCGAUGAGAAAAACUCGGAUGCGUGUGCGAACCAUAUUUCGUGCAUUUGCCACCCAAUUAAUGCGGGGAAUUUGAGACAGUUAGAUUUGAAAUUAAAGACAUUUACAACAAUAGAGAAGCAAAGAAGAGUGGGAGCGAGUGAUACAAACAUGUUUUUGAAAAUUCUCAUUGGACGAGGAGAGGAGGCUGCACAAUAUAUUUUGGUGUGAUGGUAGUAACCGUCACGACUAUAGUGCGUUUGGGGAUGUUCUGGGGUUCGACGCAACUUAUGGGAGGAAUAGGUAUAAGUGUCCGCUUGUAAUAUUUUUGGGUUUGGAUAAUCACAUGCAGACUGUUGUAUUUGGUUGUGCAAUUCUCAGCAACAAAUUAGAGGAAAGUUAUGUUUGGUUGUUGCGGGUAUUUCUUGAGGCAAUGAAAGGACAAGAACUGAAAUUGAUGUUAACCGAUGGAGAUUUGGCAAUGAAGAAUGCAAUCAAUGCUGUUUUUCCAAAUGCACAUCACAGGCUGUGCAGCUGACACCUACUACGAAAUGUGACUGCCCGUAUUCGUCGGCCCAUGUUUCUUCGCAAGUUUCGAGUUUGCCUGAUGGGUAACAUUGAGGUAGAUGAGUUUUAGAACCUAUGAAGCGAUAUUGUGGAAGAGUUUGGGUUGCAACAAAAUUCGUGGGUACUAGAUUUGUAUGAACGCAAGCAUAUGUGAGCUAAUGCGUAUAUUAGAGGCAAUUUUUUUUGCUGGGAUGAAGACGACGUCUCGAUGUGAGGCAUUAAACAUGUAGAUUGGGAAUUUUAUUGGUAAUGGAUACAAUCUAUGGGAAUUUAUUGAGCAUUUUCAGCACUAUCUCGAGUUCAUGAGAAGAAGAGCUAGUCGCCGAUUAUAGAUCUGUGUAUGGGCAACCCAUUGUUAAGUCGAAGUUGGAGGCUUUAGAAAGCUACGCAGCAACGGUAUACACGAAAGAGGUUUUUGAACUAUUCCGGGAGGCCCUCCUUUUGGCCAGCAAUGUAAGAGUUGUUUCUUGCAAGAAACUAGCACGUGUUCCCUGUUUGAGGUCACCAUGUACUGCUAGGAUCGGUCUUGGAGUGUUGCUUAGGACGAGGCGGAUGACGAAUUUACUUGCUUGUGCUUGCAUAUGGAAUCAUUUGACAUUCUUUGUGUGCACAUGGUGGGGGUGUUUGUUUAUCUGAACAUCACUCAGCUUCCGGUGAAGACCAUAUACGAACGAUGGACGAAGAAGGCCAAGCAACCUGCAACGGACCCAUCUAGACAGGUAGGCGAGAUUCCUGAUGUUGCGUACAUGAGUAUGCACGUAGCUUUGCUAAAUGAUUGAAAAGAAUUAAUCAAGUUGGCCUACCGGUACUUUGAAGACUAUUCUGAACUGAAAUCCAUGAUAGGGAACCAAAGUAAUGCGUUGAGAGAGAAGCAUCGGUUAAGGCUUGGCAUAGCUGAUUGUGGAGAAAAGGUAUCUGUUCGUAAUCCGUUGCGGGUGAGACAUAAUGGAUGAGGCCGACGAGGGGUUACUGUUAGGGAAAAAACUCGGCAUGUGCAACACUGCAGUAAGUGCGGCAAAGAUAGCCCAUAACUCCAGGAAUUGUGUAGAUUUUGGAAGCGAAAGACACAGGGGCAAGGCCGCAGCUAUGGAGGAUUGGGAGAACAUGUCGGCGGCCGAGGAGUGUAACUACACGGAUGAAAUGAAUGUUGAUGAAGAUGAGUAUCGCAUUUGAAGAUUUGGCUUUUGCAAAUUCAGGAUCUGUAAGGGUUUUGAUGCUUAGUUGAGUUUUUUGAAAUGUAAGGACUUGUGUGAAGAUUUUAGCAGCUACUCUCUUUGCAAUGACAUGCUUUCAUGUUGAAGUAGGGAAAACUUUUGCUUUAAAUUUUUGAUUGCAUUAUAGUCAAUGAGUGUGCAAAUGUGAUUUGUAUCCAACAUCUUAAAUCAUAUUUGUUUUAGAAAAGUCAAACUUGACUGUCAAUAUAGAAUGGUGGUGUUAUAUGGACUUGUGUCAUCACUUCCAUUUUGCUAAUGAAUUCAUGCGUAUUUUCAUAUCCCACCAUUUUGUU